AACGUAGGUGGCAAGCGUUAUCCGGAUUUACUGGGCGUAAAGCGUGUGCAGGCGGCCUGUCAAGUGGUGUAUGAAAUCGCCCGGCUCAACCGGGUGGGGUUAUGCCAGACUGGCAGGCUGGAGUCUGAAAGAGGGGGGUGGAAUUCCGGGUGCAGUGGUGAAAUGCGUAGAGAUCCGGAGGAACCCCAGAGGCGAAGGCGGCCCCCUGGUUCAGCACUGACGCUCAGACACGACAGCAUGGGGAGCGAACGGG
Molecule: ribosomal RNA, 253 nt
Filed under: uncultured bacterium
Lineage: Bacteria
Description: partial 16S ribosomal RNA
Rfam family: Bacterial small subunit ribosomal RNA
Source: RNAcentral